UUAAUUGAAGAGUUUGAUCAUGGCUCAGAUUGAACGCUGGCGGCAGGCUUAACACAUGCAAGUCGAGCGGUAGCACAGGGGAGCUUGCUCCCUGGGUGACGAGCGGCGGACGGGUGAGUAAUGUCUGGGAAACUGCCUGAUGGAGGGGGAUAACUACUGGAAACGGUAGCUAAUACCGCAUAACGUCGCAAGACCAAAGAGGGGGACCUUCGGGCCUCUUGCCAUCAGAUGUGCCCAGAUGGGAUUA
RNAcentral lists this ribosomal RNA (247 nucleotides) under Serratia marcescens. Its description in RNAcentral is "partial 16S ribosomal RNA". It matches the Rfam family "Bacterial small subunit ribosomal RNA", at positions 1 to 243 of the family's 1533-position model. Lineage: Bacteria; Pseudomonadati; Pseudomonadota; Gammaproteobacteria; Enterobacterales; Yersiniaceae. The record is from RNAcentral.